This 355-nucleotide unclassified non-coding RNA is filed under the name soil metagenome. RNAcentral's name for it is "partial contains 5.8S ribosomal RNA, internal transcribed spacer 2, and large subunit ribosomal RNA". The stretch from base 1 to 120 matches the Rfam family "5.8S ribosomal RNA", at positions 35 to 154 of the family's 154-position model. The record is from RNAcentral.
GAUGAAGAACGUAGCGAAAUGCGAUAAGUAAUGUGAAUUGCAGAAUUCAGUGAAUCAUCGAAUCUUUGAACGCACAUUGCGCCCAUUAGUAUUCUAGUGGGCAUGCCUGUUCGAGCGUCAUUAAGUCCACUUAAGCCCUGCUUAGUGUUGGGAGACUGCUCCAGCGGUGCUACCCUGUAGCUACCCUGCAGCUCCUCAAAGACAGCGGCGGAGUUGUGGUAUCCUCUGAGCUUAGUAACUUGUUCUAGCUUUCGAGUACACCACUUCCCCUGCCGUAAAACCCUUAAUUUUUAAUGGUUGACCUCGGAUCAGGUAGGAAUACCCGCUGAACUUAAGCAUAUCAAUAAGCGGAGCA